AUGGAGGAUAAAGGUUUCUGUGCUGUGCCACAGGUGGAUUUCAGUGCAGAUGGAAAAUCCCUGGGGCUGGAGGGCGAUGGAGCCUCGCUGGCCAGGGACAAACCCGUUCUAUUGCCCCUGCUGAGAGCCUUGAAUACUCCAGAAUUCACGGUGGAUUUCAGCUGCCUGCCCGAGGCUGUGAAGGCGCUGGCGCGCGACGGCUGCAGGGCCCUGCAGGAGCAGCAGUGCCACAGCGCCGAGCUCGCCUUCUCGCGGCUCCUCAGCAUCCUCUGCGCCUCGGGCGUGGCGGUGAGAGCGGCCAAAGCCCCUGCCCGGGGACCCCCU
RNAcentral lists this long non-coding RNA (324 nucleotides) under Junco hyemalis (dark-eyed junco). RNAcentral's name for it is "lncRNA (ENSJHYG00000002186.1)". Lineage: Eukaryota; Metazoa; Chordata; Aves; Passeriformes; Passerellidae. The record is from RNAcentral.